CCUACGGGGAGCAGCAGUGAGGAAUAUUGGUCAAUGGGCGAGAGCCUGAACCAGCCAAGUCGCGUGAAGGAUGAAGGAUCUAUGGGUUGUAAACUUCUUUUAUAUGGGAAUAAAGCGAGGAACGUGUUCCUUUUUGUAUGUACUAUAUGAAUAAGCAUCGGCUAACUCCGUGCCAGCAGCCGCGGUAAUACGGAGGAUGCGAGCGUUAUCCGGAUUUAUUGGGUUUAAAGGGUGCGUAGGUGGUUUAUUAAGUCAGUGGUGAAAGUUUGUGGCUCAACCCUAAAAUUGCAAUUGAAACUGGUAGUCUUGAGUACAUUUGAGGUAGGCGGAAUGCGUGGUGUAGCGGUGAAAUGCAUAGAUAUCACGAAGAACUCCGAUUGCGAAGGCAGCUUACUAAACUGUAACUGACACUGAUGCACGAAAGCGUGGGGAUCAAACAGGAUUAGAUACCCGUGUAGUC
This 460-nucleotide ribosomal RNA is filed under the name uncultured bacterium. Its description in RNAcentral is "partial 16S ribosomal RNA". It matches the Rfam family "Bacterial small subunit ribosomal RNA", at positions 338 to 795 of the family's 1533-position model. The record is from RNAcentral.